Mesocricetus auratus (golden hamster) is the source of this 2368-nucleotide long non-coding RNA. RefSeq lists it as uncharacterized. The transcript has 4 exons. NCBI's taxonomy places the organism in Eukaryota, Metazoa, Chordata, Mammalia, Rodentia, Cricetidae. The record is from RefSeq and is a predicted model, not a curated record.
GGCCCUCGCGGUGGUAGUUGUCGCCUAAACCUGCCUUUCAAGCCCUUCUGGACCGUCCCCAUCUUGCGCAAAUAGAAAUCUAUGUCUAGACUGCACUUGGACUCAGGUUUAGACCAGUCUCCUCGGUUAAGAUGCUGCUGGUCCAUCCCUCAGAAAGGACUGGGUGAUCCUGAACUCUCAGAGCUUGCAUCAGAGCAGGGUCUUGCAGGUGCCUGUAAAAUCCCAGCACUGCGGAUGCUGAGUCGAGAGGGAAGCCAGGAGUUGGAGACUAGGCUAGGCUGCCUUGUUAAGAUUGUUUCAAACAAACAAAAGCAAAAUAAAAAUAGGAGAAAACUAAGUAUCCUUUUCAAGUUCCAUCUACAAGACAAUGACCUCCCUUCUCCCCACACGUAAUAAAACUAAUGGCUGAGGAACAAAAUCAAGGUGGGGGGGCUGGUAUCUGCCCUUCACAGAUCCACCACAAAACUGCAAGGUUCCAUGUGAGGGCCUGGCCCCUAUAGGGAGAAAAUAGGGACCCUAAGUCAGAUGUAUUUCUCUAGGAGUCACUGAGCUGGUACUGUGUGUGUGUGUGUGUGUGUGUGUGUGUGUGUGUGUGUAUUGUAGUGUUGGGAUGGAACUCAGGCGCUCACUACAUUUUACUGGAGAGUUGCAGCCCCCCAGUCCUGUAAUUCUGCCUUCCCACAGCCUCGGCUCUCUGCCUCACCCAGAGCAGAGCCUGAUUCCUUACUCCUGCCUGGAUUAAGCAAUCAGAGGUGUUCCGAAGAUUCAGGGCGCAGUCGUGUUUUCUUAUGAUAUAACUGUUUCCCCACCUAGUAAUCUUACUGACUCUGAUGUGUGAGAAUUUGCCCCUUUUUUUCCUCUAAGUGUACAGAUGCUGUCAAUGACUGCGAAUUCUAUAAAUAGAACUCUCCUCUGCCAAGCAUGGAAGAUGUAAGAAUAUAACCGUGUUCAUAGGGUGCUUCUAGUCCCAGUUUUACUGAAAAUUCAGAGGCCACCUGGGUGGAGGUAUCACAUCACUGGAGAAUAGAAGGAGUAGGGUCUGAACCCAAGCAGUGAGAAAGAAUGGCAUCGCCAGGAGCUGAUGGAUAAGUGGGAAGAUGGAAAGACCACGCCUUUUCAGCUGGAAGAUAAAUACUUGCCAAACAUCUAGGCCACAAGGGCUGAAGAAGUUAAUGUACCAGGGAGGGAGAUGGGUUAUAAAAUUGGAUACAAAUGUAAAAAAGAAAAAUUGUCAGAAGAGAAGUUGGGCUUUUCCUCUCUAAAAGUGUGUACUUUGCUGUGUGAGCAAUGCUGCUGCUUCAGGAACCAAGACACACGAGACAAGAUGCCUGCUAAUGAAUUGUGUUCUGAUGCCUGCUAAUGAAUUGUGUUCUGAUGCCAGCUAGUGGAUUGUGUACUACGCUAACAGAAGCUGACAGGCAUAAACAAGUGAGUAAAUAGGAGACGAAGAACGUGAUCACAAGCGGGCACACACCUUUAGCCCCAGAAUUCAGGAGGCAAAGACAGGCAGAUCUCCGAGUUCAAGGUCAGUCUUGUCUACAGGCGGCCGUGUAUCUUGUGUUGUCUGUAUCUGUGCUGCUUCACCCUGAAAUCUGGAACUGGAACCCUACAGGGCAAGUCUACAGACUUUACGCAGACUUCCCAGCUUUGUAUGCGUAUGAGUUUACUGGAAGAGUCUUCUCGUAUUGAACAGUUUGUGCAAUGGGCACGGCAUAAUUCCUAGGUACUUUUGAAUAGACUUGGCGACAGACUUCAAACUCCUGUUAAGCUCAGCUGCCACCUGGACAAAUCUGCCCGGAAACCGUAUAGGAGCCACACACUCCACAUGGCCAUGCCAGAGGCCACCCAGCAAACUCCCUUUUCACAGUUGUGGACAGCUGAGAACACCUCAGCCACAAGCAAGCAGUUUAUCUUGGAUGUAUGUUUUUUUAGAGUAUUAAAUUAAGUGGGGGUGGGGAGAGAGAUGGCUCAGUGGUUAGGAGCACCUCCUGUUCUUGCAAAGAGAACCUGGGUUCAGUUCCCACGUGGUCCCUCAUAACGAUCUGUAACUCCAGUUCCAGGGGAUUCCAUGCCUCUUCUGACCUCCGAGGGCUUCUCCAUGCACGUGGUGCACAGACAUACACUCAGGUGCACACACUCACACACGUGACACUAAAUAACAUCUAAACAGUAUUAAGUAUUCAAAGUCUAAGAUGCCUCAGCUCCUUAGGAAAAGGUUGCACUUGGGCCAGUGGCUUUGAGGGAGAGAGCUAAGCAGCUGGGGAUCAGGUGGGCACAUUUCCUUUCCACUGUGUUCUUUUGGUAACUUUUAAGCUUUAUACACAUGUGUACUUAAAGAAUAAUAAUUAAAAGCAAUGAUGAGUUGAAA